Molecule: long non-coding RNA, 434 nt
Filed under: Cucumis sativus (cucumber)
Lineage: Eukaryota; Viridiplantae; Streptophyta; Magnoliopsida; Cucurbitales; Cucurbitaceae
Description: long non-coding RNA (CSAT_LNC002309)
Source: RNAcentral
CAACUACAGAGAAUGGGGAUUGGCCUGUUUAUUUCAAUUCUAGCUAUGCUAUCUGCAGCUAUCUUAGAACUCGUAAGGCUUCAAGACGUGAGAAGGCACAACUAUUAUGAACUCAAGCAUAUGCCUAUGUCCAUCUUCUGGCAAGUUCCUCAGUAUUUUCUUAUUGGUUGUGCUGAGGUAUUUACCUUCAUUGGGCAGCUGGAAUUCUUUUACGAGCAAGCUCCCGAUGCGAUGAGGAGUCUUGGCUCUGCUCUCUCACUCACUACCGUCGCACUUGGCAACUACCUCAGCUCUCUACUCGUGACAAUUGUCAACAAAGCCAGCACCAAAGGUGGAAGGCUUGGAUGGAUACCAGACAAUUUGAACUAUGGUCAUGUACACUAUUUCUUUUUUCUCUUGGCGAUCCUGAGUAUCAAAAACUUGAUUGCUUUUUU